Molecule: non-coding RNA, 162 nt
Filed under: Ipomoea nil (Japanese morning glory)
Lineage: Eukaryota; Viridiplantae; Streptophyta; Magnoliopsida; Solanales; Convolvulaceae
Description: Bacterial large subunit ribosomal RNA
Rfam family: Bacterial large subunit ribosomal RNA
Source: Rfam by way of RNAcentral
GGUCGUUUGGAACGAGGGCGAGCUCACAUCGACGGGAAGGUUUGACACCUCGAUGUCGGCUCUUCGCCACCUAGGGCUGUAGUAUGUUCCAAGGGUUGGGUUGUUCGCCCAUUAAAACGGUACGUGAGCUGGGUUCAUGAUCAGAACGUCGUGAGAUAGUUC